AACGAACGCUGGCGGCAGGCCUAACACAUGCAAGUCGAGCGCCCCGCAAGGGGAGCGGCGGACGGGUGAGUAACGCGUGGGAAUAUGCCCUUUGCUACGGAAUAGUCUCGGGAAACUGGGGGUAAUACCGUAUACGCCCUUUGGGGGAAAGAUUUAUCGGCGAAGGAUUAGCCCGCGUUGGAUUAGGUAGUUGGUGGGGUAAUGGCCUACCAAGCCGACGAUCCAUAGCUGGUUUGAGAGGAUGAUCAGCCACACUGGGACUGAGACACGGCCCAGACUCCUACGGGAGGCAGCAGUGGGGAAUCUUAGACAAUGGGGGCAACCCUGAUCUAGCCAUGCCGCGUGAGUGGUGAAGGCCUUAGGGUUGUAAAGCUCUUUCAGCUGGGAAGAUAAUGACGGUACCAGCAGAAGAAGCCCCGGCUAACUCCGUG
RNAcentral lists this ribosomal RNA (431 nucleotides) under uncultured bacterium. RNAcentral describes it as "partial 16S ribosomal RNA". It matches the Rfam family "Bacterial small subunit ribosomal RNA", at positions 29 to 507 of the family's 1533-position model. The record is from RNAcentral.